Molecule: non-coding RNA, 147 nt
Organism: Triticum aestivum (bread wheat)
Lineage: Eukaryota; Viridiplantae; Streptophyta; Magnoliopsida; Poales; Poaceae
Source: Rfam
AAAUGCAAUUUGGUAUCUGACUUUUUUUUUGCCUUUUUUGUGAUUCUGUGUCUCUAAACAUGGCAAAAAAUGAGGAGGAACGAAACUUUGCGACACUGGCUGCUCAUAAUGAGCCUCUAAGUUACUAUAUACUACCUGUUUAUAUUA